This 176-nucleotide ribosomal RNA is filed under the name Aleuria aurantia (orange peel mushroom). RNAcentral describes it as "5.8S ribosomal RNA". The stretch from base 36 to 176 matches the Rfam family "5.8S ribosomal RNA". Rfam says of the family: 5.8S ribosomal RNA (5.8S rRNA) is a component of the large subunit of the eukaryotic ribosome. It is transcribed by RNA polymerase I as part of the 45S precursor that also contains 18S and 28S rRNA. Functionally, it is thought that 5.8S rRNA may be involved in ribosome translocation. The record is from RNAcentral. Lineage: Eukaryota; Fungi; Ascomycota; Pezizomycetes; Pezizales; Pyronemataceae.
GUCAUCUGUCUGAAUCUGUUUAUAACAAAUGUUAAAACUUUCAACAACGGAUCUCUUGGUUCUCGCAUCGAUGAAGAACGCAGCGAAAUGCGAUAAGUAGUGUGAAUUGCAGAAUUCAGUGAAUCAUCGAAUCUUUGAACGCACAUUGCGCCUCCUGGUAUUCCGGGAGGCAUGCC